This is a long non-coding RNA of Vespula vulgaris, 259 nucleotides long. RefSeq lists it as uncharacterized. The record is from RefSeq and is a predicted model, not a curated record. NCBI's taxonomy places the organism in Eukaryota, Metazoa, Arthropoda, Insecta, Hymenoptera, Vespidae. The transcript has 3 exons.
UCGUUAAUUACUGCGUCAGUUCUCUUUCGCGUGUCGACGAGUAAGCAUCGAAAAUCCCACUUUCCACGACUUCGUUAAUUACUGCGUCAGUUCUCUUUCGCGUGCCGACGAGUAAGCAUCGAAAAUCCCACUUUCCAUUUAAUUUUUAGACUGAUCGUUGUUAACAACGUGUAACCUCUGACUGACUUUCACGGGUACUCGAUCAAAAUAAACAUCGAAGCUAUCCCAAGAUGUCUUUGUUCCAAGCAUCAUCGAAGAU